Molecule: long non-coding RNA, 221 nt
Filed under: Lathyrus oleraceus (garden pea)
Lineage: Eukaryota; Viridiplantae; Streptophyta; Magnoliopsida; Fabales; Fabaceae
Description: Pisum sativum (pea) long non-coding RNA (PSAT_LNC004246)
Source: RNAcentral
GAAAAUCUUCCAUUUUCUCCAUGGCAAGGUCCAACAGACCCUCUGCUGCUAAACUCACACAUCCUAUCAACAUUGAUGGUAGGGAAUAUGUUCCUGAGCCUCCGUUGGCAGAAGAGAAGGCAAAAAUCUGGCGUUCUCAGGUAUUAAUUCCUCUUUCUUUGGCUGAUGAACCUUUAGCGUUCUUAGGUCCUCUCCCUGAAAACCGACACCCAGAGAUUACC